Molecule: ribosomal RNA, 419 nt
Filed under: uncultured bacterium
Lineage: Bacteria
Description: bacterial SSU rRNA
Rfam family: Bacterial small subunit ribosomal RNA
Source: RNAcentral
ACUUAGUGGCGGACGGGUGAGUAACGCGUGGAUAACCUGCCUUAAUGACCGGGGAUAACACCGGGAAACUGGUGCUAAUACGGGAUACGCUCAAGUGAACACAUGUUUGUUUGAGGAAAAGGAGCAAUCCGCAUUAAGAUGGGUCCGCGUCCCAUUAGCUAGUUGGAGGUGUAAGAGACCCCCCAAGGCGACGAUGGGUAGCCGGCCUGAGAGGGUGAACGGCCACACUGGAACUGAGACACGGUCCAGACUCCUACGGGAGGCAGCAGUGGGGAAUCUUCCGCAAUGGGCGAAAGCCCUGACGGAGCAACGCCGCGUGAAUGAUGAAGGCCUUCGGGUUGUAAAAUUCUGUCUUCAGGGAAGAAACAAAUGACGGUACCUGAGGAGGAAGCCCCGGCUAACUACGUGCCAGCAGCCGC